RNAcentral lists this long non-coding RNA (13349 nucleotides) under Gossypium barbadense (sea-island cotton). RNAcentral's name for it is "long non-coding RNA (GBAR_LNC002782)". The record is from RNAcentral. Lineage: Eukaryota; Viridiplantae; Streptophyta; Magnoliopsida; Malvales; Malvaceae.
UUUUUUUUAAUAGGCGAGUGAUUUUACUGUUUUUUUUAAGUUGUAUUUAAAUAAAUAAAUAAAACAAAAUUUCAAAUUCUCUUAUAGAGUUAAAAAUUUUCUAUCAUCUGUGUAUCAAAUAAUUAUCCAGAAUAUAUUAAUACUAAUAUAAAAAUAGUUUAAUAUUUGACAUAUUGUUGAUUAAAAUUAUAAUGUGAUUUUCGUUGGAAGUUAAAUUUAUUUUGGAUUUAUUUAAUACUUAAUUUUAACUCGAUUGACAUAGGUAUUGUUGUCAAUACUAGAGGACAUAGGUUUCAGUGUUCCUAUUUAUAUUUGGGAGGGUAGUUUUCUUUUUCUAAUAUUAUUAUUAUAGAUUCUAAUCAUAUUUAUUCUUUUUGAUACAAUCUCUAGAAUUAAUUAUAAAUUCUUCCCAACUUUUAAAUAAAAGAAAACAGACAAUAAUAUUCAUGUCAAUUAAGUUAAUAUAUACUUUUUAGCCUAAUAGAUUGUACCAUAUAUAUUAAAACCAUAUGGACAUAAAAUUGGAACUGCUAAAAUGUGUAAAAGCAUAUAUGCAAAAAUAGUAGCCAAUAUGACCAAUUCAAAGGAAUCUAAUUUACAAGGUUUUAAGACUGAAGACCAGGGAACUUAUCUAUAGUCUUGGUUUCUUAUUUUUCAAAGAUCAAAUUAUAUGAUAGAAAUUUUCUUGGAAAAAAAUGUUGUUUGGUAGCAAUGCCACUGGAAUUUCCAAGCAAAACCUAGUCCACAAAAAAGGAGGUCAAGGAAAGAACUCAUAAAUUUUUAAAAUUUAAUUUUUUUCACUUACUAAAAGAUUAAUAUUAAACUCGAUACAAAGCACAAUUAACUGAAAACUCAAAUAAAUUACUUGUAUAUAACAAGAUUCGACUAUGAACAUUCAAAAUCUUAAGAUUUCAAUUAUCACUGAUACUACUAAAACAUCUAUCAGACUUUAAUUUUCGAAUCAAAAGUAAAAUUAAUUUUCAAUAUACAUCAAUCAAUGAUGACUUUAUUGUGAUUAACCGUGUGGGUUCCACCAUGAAAGAAAAAGACCCCAAAAGUCUCAUUCCAUCAUAUUUUUCUAGCAAAUGCUUCCAAGUAUUGCAAGACUUUUCUCUCUCCCCCCACACAUAGCUUCUGGUGCUGCUGAUAUUUACUUGGUCUUUUCCCUCUUGUUCAAAACAUUUAUAAAUAACCAAGUGUGUUAAUCUACCAAACAUUGUGUCUUUUGAAUGCAAUAAACAUUUCUUACACUCUCUUGCAUCUUAUAUUCACUUAAUAUACGUACACAAAUAAGCAGCAACAGCCUACAGCUACAAUGAGUAGCCUAUCCAGUAUGGAUGAUAAUGCUACCCCGAAGAUCGAACUUCCAGGCUUCCGAUUCCAUCCCACCGAGGAAGAACUGCUCGAAUUUUACCUCAAAAACAUGAUCUACGACAAGAAGUUACGUUAUGACAUUAUUGGAUACCGUAACAUCUAUCAUCAUGAUCCUUGGGACUUGCCUGGUACGUGGAUAUAUACACAUAUAUGGUUUAAUAUGAUGGUUUUAAGUAAUGUUAAGCAAAUUUAUAAGGUUGGAAUUUUUAUUUUUUUUAUAAUAGGGUUGUCGAAGAUUGGAGAGAGAGAAUGGUAUUUUUUUGUUCCAAGAGAUAGGAAGCAUGGAAGUGGUGGGAGGCCUAAUAGGACUACGGCAAAUGGGUUCUGGAAAGCCACCGGUUCCGACCGGAAAAUCGUGAGCUUAUCGGACCUGAAGCGCAUUAUCGGCUUGAAAAAGACUCUUGUUUUCUAUAAAGGGAGAGCUCCACGAGGGUGCAAGACCGAUUGGGUGAUGAACGAGUAUCGUCUCCCGGAUGGUUGCUCCUUGCCUAAGGUAUUUAAUCUUUCUUCAUGCACAUACAUGUUUGCAGUUUAACCACAUGUUUUAAACAUGCGAAGGAACUUAAUCAUCUUCGUUGAAAUGUUUAUAAGUUUAGGACCAAUUUAAAAUCUGAACCAUAGUUUUAGGACCCUAAGUGCAAUUAAUCCAAAACUAAUAUGACUUGAACAUUUUUUAAUGUGAACACUCUGGUAUUAUGAUUUAUAAUGGGUCCCAAACUUUUGGGACAAAGAUAUAAAAGAAAGUUGUAAUCAAUGCUAAUGUCAUUGUAUGAUUGAAUGGCAGGAGAUAGUAUUGUGCAAAGUAUAUAGGAAAGCAACUUCCCUGAAAGUUCUUGAACAAAGAGCUGCAAUGGAGGAAGAGUUGAAAGCAAUAAAGAACACAUCUCCUUCAUCUCCACUAUCAUCUAUGGAAACAGUAUCCUUUAGCAGCCCAAAAGAGGCUCAAGUGCCAGCACCGCAAAUGUUCUUUAAGAAAGAAAAUGAAGAAGAACAAGAACAAGAAACAAUGGUGGAAAAGAAAAGAUGUUUACAAUUACCAUUAGAUAGUGAAAAACUACCAGAGCUUCAAAUGCCCAAAGUGCUAAGUGAUUGGACCCAAGAUCAGUUUUGGACUCAACUGAACAGCCCUUGGUUCCAAAAUCUCACAACCUAUGCCAACAUCUUGAAUUUCUAAGUAAAAGCUUAAUUAAUUAUCACCUCAGCUCGAAUAGGAUUAAUCGUGAACUGUAAAACAGGUCAACAAGGCAUCUUAUUUCAUUGGUAUUAAUUAGUUUAGACCCUGAUGUUGUGUAUAUAAGCUUAUCUCCUACUGUUUUAGUUUAGUUCCUUCCUACUAGCCUCGAAGAUGACCAAACUUUUUUAGAGCUACAAGCUUUGGAAGCCUUUGCUUGUUUUGUUGAUGAUAUUUUUUUCAUAAAUGUUUACUACGUGAUUAAUUUGUUUGAUGUAACUUUGGAGUUUUAUUUUAAUGAAAAUUUUGAAAUUUGGUGAAAAAAUGGUAUUGAAUGUAUUUAAAAGCUCCCUCUAUUAUAGGAAUUUAAUCAAAUUAGUCCUUCUACUAUUAAAAAAAAAUCAAAUAAGUUCAAAUUAGAAUAGAGUUAAUAUUUAUUGUUUAAAGAGUAUUAUUUAAUGUUUAACAAAGUUAAUAUUUUUAAGCUUUUUAUGGUUCUGUAAAUAAAAUCUUUUGUUUAGAAUUGAACUAUAAUUAAAAAAGUAAUAACUUUCAAGACAAUUUUUAUACAAUGAAUGUUAACUCUACUAAAAUAUGGACUUUUUAUUAUUAUUUUUAGUAAUAUAGAGACUAAAUUGAUCAAUUUAGAAAGAUUAAUUUGAUUCAAUCCCUAUAAUUCAAGGACUUCUUAGACAUUUUAACCAAAAAUUGAAGGCAGAGAGUGGUGCUAUCUAUUAAGUGUAUAGUCAGGCGCCCCUAAAAUGAAAAAAAAAAUCUCAUUUAAGUUCUUUAAAUUUUUUUAAAUUUUUAAAUUAAUAAAUAGAAAAUUAUACUUUAACCCCCUAAAAUUAUAAAAAAUUAAUUUAAUCAUUUAAAAUUCAUAAGAAUGUAGACUAUAAAAAAAAUUAAAAUUUCAUUCUGCCCCAUGUAGAAAUUUCUUUGGUAGAGUUUAAUUUAACCUAACCAUGAUAUUUAUAAAUAUUAAUGUCAUUAUCAUUUUAGCUAACAAUUAUUGUUUCUAAAGUCUACAAACAUUAAUAUUCCGAGGGUAAAAUGCAUAUUUGAUUAUAUAAAUUAGAUGAUAAACACAACAUCAUCGAAUCGACUUAAUGGUGGCCGAAAUUUUUCUGGUUGUAGCAGUCAAUACAGUCACCGUAACUAACUCCGAACAUGUCACAAUACCUUUUAUAAAACCCGAUGAGGUCCUCUCCCGCUGCGUUCCAACCCCGACCGCAUAAACCGCCAUUGACGAUAUUUGUGAUCACUCCAUACCCUGGAAGCCUACCGGCCGCCACGUCCCUAUCUGAAGGCGUCCACGCUCCAGUGAUCACAUCGUGGCAAGAAGGCUUUAACCCUUGCGGAGUCAUCCAGAACCACAAUGCAGAUUGGAAACACAAUGUGGCAUCGCUUACUAUCAGGUCUGGGUUUUCUAACAACUCCUUUUCCAUCCCAAUGGUUGCUCCAAAUUGACCAUAGUUGUAGUUCCUUAAUUAUCAAAUUUUGUUUCAUUAUUUCAAUGUCAAUAAAAGAAACACAAUUGUCGAGAUAUAAAAAUUCAAUAAAAUUGACAUGAAAUUAAUGUGGAUUACCGUUCGGACAACCAUGUUCUAGUCAAUAUUUCUAUUUUUAACAAGCAAUUAUAGAAAUAGUUACCAAGUAAGUUGUAUGGGGCCUCGACCAUAAUAUUUCUGACCAGGAACACAUGGGUACUCUUUGCAUGUCUUGUCCAAAUAAUCUGAAGGAGGGUUUAUUUGCUUAGUAAAGCAGUAUCCCCAUACAUACGGACCACCGGGUGCAUUCCACCCUACUCCUCCUAAAAUCAUUAAAUUAAUCACUAGUUGUGUAUACAUUUUAACCACAUUUAAUUACACUAAAUUAAAAAUUAAAUUUUAUGUAUUAAAGUGGAUGAAAUUUAUCCCCUAAAAAUAUGCUCAAACUUUGUACUGAUUAUAAGAAAAAGGAACAAACCAGAAGUUUCAUGUGAAGUUUGGCCGAAGAAAGCAGCAACUUCCCUCUUGCGAGUAGCAUCAUCGCCGGUUGCAGCAAAAGCAGGAUAAGCCUUUGCAGCUUCCAUUAAAGCAUCAUAGGUGUAGAACCCAGCGGCAGGGCAACGAGGAUCGUUUCUAUACGGAAGCAUCUCUUCAAACACUUCUCUUGUUACAAUGCUGCUCAGUCCACCUCCACAGUCGCUUCCGCCGCCGCAACCACAACCGGAGUUGCCUUUGUUGCAGUUGCUUCGGAAACUAAUUUUUUUGAGGCGCUGAUAAUUAUUGGAGCCACGGCAACCCAACUGGGCUCUUGGAAAAAUGGCAGUGCCACCGCCAGGUUGCUUUUCACACUGCGGAGUUGAGCCUGGGAAUACAUUAGAGCAAAAUGAUAAGGCUGGAGCUCUCAUUUUUUGUGAAAAAUGUAAGUGGGUUUCUCUCACUUGUGUUAGUGAAGAAAGGGCAACAGUAUGAUAAAUAUAUAUAUCAGAUUCUCAUCUACCAAAGUUAAUAAUGUGGUCUGCCAUGGCUGUUCAAGUUUUUGGCUUUUUGCGCUUUGAUUCAACCUUGGGACCCACCAUUAAAAGUGCUAGCUCAGAUGAACGGCUAUUUUUCUCCGUAAAUUCCAAAGCAAUAAUAGUUAUCUAAGUUACUAAACUGCUAAUAAACUUACUUUUUAAUUAUUUAAUUUUAAAAAAUUAUAAAAUAAUUAUUGAAUUACUAAAAAAAUUUAUUUAAGUUAAUAUUUGUAACUUUAAAAAAUUACAAAUUAAAUUAUUUAAAAAAAUUUAUUUAUAAAAUUAAACCGCUAUGCUCUUUUAAAAUUCGUCUCGCAAGUUCUGACUGACGAUUCGACGAUUUUUAUGGUGAAUCAGUACUCAUACAAGUUUUAAAAUUUAUCGACAUUAAUUUAUUUAUUGGUAUGAUAAAAGCUAAUUGAGAAAUUCAAGAUAAAAAGUACAUAUAUGGGAAUCUAGUUAACACGUGGGCAGGCUGUCGCUAAUUCAAGAUUUUUGUUUAAAUCUAAAUAUUUGUUGUUAAUUAUUUUUUAUAUCUAAAAUUUUGUCUGGAUAUUCUCUACAUAUGAAUUUUUUUUAUUUUUAAAUUCAAUAAUAUUCUGAUGAAAUUUGAACUUGUAUAUAUGUAUUUCAAUUUUUUUAUUUUAUUAUUUUAAUCAAAAUAUCAUUUAAUUUUUAUAUAAAUUUAUUACUAUAUUUGUUACAUACAUUUUCUUCCACCUAUGAAGCUUAUAGCUUCUCUCAAAAGAUGAGUGAAAUCCCCAAAAAUAAAUUUGGGGAUUCUCUCGUGGAAAAUGAUAUAGAAGAACUUGGAUAGGAGACCCCUUUCUCGACCCUUUUAGAGAAUGUUCAAUUAGGGUUAAUAUUUGAUUAAAUUAAGUAAAAAAUUUUGAGUUAAUUGAGUUAUUAAAUCUUAUUUUACUAUCUCAAUUUGAUUUGGAAUAUUUUUUAAUAGAGUCAAGUGGAAUAAAAUUCAAGUCGAGUUGAAUAGAAUCAAGUGAAAUUGUUCGAGUUAAAUUAAAAAAUUAAAUAUAUCAAAUUAAAAUCUUGUUACUGUAUAAAUAAUUUCAUGUUAGAGCACGUAAAUUUGAAACCAUAUAUGUUUGAUAACUUUUUCAAAGCAAAAUAAGAAAAAAAAAUAUUCAUAAACUUGAAUCGUUAAUUAUUAUUAUUUUUCUAAUUUUUCUAAUUUUUUAAAAAAUAUAAUUUUUUAUAGUUUUUUGAAUUUUUGAAAAAUGUUUUUUAUUUUUGUAAUUUUUGAUAAGAUAGAGAUUAAUUUGCUCAUUUUCAAAAUUGACAAUAACUAAAAGAGUAUUUGCAUCAAUAUGUUAUUUUAAUUAUUUAAGUUAUUUAAAUUGUAAAAAUUAACUCGAAAUUUAAUUUUUUUUUAAUUAUUUCAAAUCGAAUCGAAUUUUACUCACUUGGCUAAAGAUUUUUUUCAGACUUAUGUAAUAAUUUCCUAGUAAAAUGAUUAUAGGGUAUAAAAUAUAUUUAUGUAUUAACAAUUUUAUUUUAAUUAAGCUAAAAAUCGAGCUUCAUUUACAAACGGAAAAUGGUCUACUAGUCAUGUGGGUGAAAUUAAUAAAUUAUUAAUUAUUUACAUAAGGUAUAAAAUUCAAAAUGAAAUAAUUAGGAGUAGGAUACUUUAUAAUUUUGAUUUGAAUUCCACUUGACAAUUUAAAUUUUAAUCCGAUCUAAUCCCUUUUCAUCAUAGAAACUCAAUAAUUUAAAUUAAAAAAAUAUAACCCUCAUAAAAAAUAAUACAAACAUGAUUUAAUUACGAUUAUAUGUAGGAAAGUGGGGUUUGUUCGGGUUGAGGAUCUUGGAAUGUGUCUUGGUGUGCCUCUCAUUCAUAAAAAAGUUGGUGUAAGCACUUUUGAAUUUUUGGUUAAUAAAGUCCGUAACAGACUGAAUGUUGGGAAACGAAUAAAUUGUCUUUGGCUAGCAGAGUAACAACUGUGUUGCCUCAUUUGAUUUAUGCGGGACCAGAUAAGCUAUUAUGGAGAUGGGCAACAGGAUAAUUUUUCAUCGACAGAUACUUAUAGAGGCAUUCACCAACUUGGCUCGGUGAAUAAUUCUAGUGCUAGGAAUUUGAUUUGGAAAAUCAAGGUGUCUCUAAAGGUUGAGUUGUUCAUUUAGAUCAUGUCGAAGAAUAGAUUAUAUUGACUAAUAGAGUGAAAGGAGACAUAUGGCGAAUGAAAGCCAUUGUUCAAGAUGUAGCAAUGUAUAUAAACCGAGGAUCCAUGUUGUUUGGGAUUGCACCUUUUCUAGGACUGUUUGGUGGUCAAUUGUGCCAACUCAUUCUCAAGUAAGAUUUUUUUUUCCUCUGCCACUAGAUCAAUGGAUUUUAUGGAACAUGCAAAACAUUGAAGAUAUUGAUAGUUAAGAGAUAGAAUGGUGAUUUUUUUUUCUAUAAUGUGCUCGCUGCUAUGAAAAAUUAGAAUAUAUAUGUGUGUGUUUUCUAGUAGUCACAGUUGUACCUAAGAAAUCAUGGAUAUUGGUGUUAGUUGGACGAGGAGUUACGUAAGGAUGCUAGCACCUGUGUUACAUGUUAAUCCUAUGGUUAUUGCUAUAGUAGUCAGCUCUGAAAUAGAGGUUGGAGUAAGCUUAAUACAAAUGGAGCAGUGUCGUUAAAUGAAUCUUAUUUUACAAAAAAAUACAAACAUGAAUCGAUAAUUAUCUAAAUAAAUAAUUCAAAAUAGUUUAUACUCAAAACUUCAAAAUUGCAAAAACAAAAAACAGAACACACAAAUAACUUAAAACCCAAUCUUCAUUCAACCUCAAAAUCUUAGAAUUUUAGAACAUAAACUGAUUCAAUUCAAUUUAAACUAAAUUCAAACAAAUGAAAGUUGCAUUUAUUGAGACGGGAUUUUCUAUGAACAUGCAAAAAUUUUGAAUUCAACUUCCAAGGCAAAAGAAAAACUUCUAGUUAUUAUAGAAAGUGUCAACCCAACCCCAUGUGAUGGUUUCAUAAUAAAAAAUAUUUAUUCCAUAUAUUAAAUUUUUUUUAUAAGUCUUCCGUAAAUUAGAUAAUAAUAAUAACACAUCAUUUAAUAUAAAGAAUCCUUUCUAAAAUCCUUCUGAUUGUAGCAAUCAAGAUAGUCGCCGUAAUUAACUCCAAACAUGUCGCAUUCCGACCCCGACCGCAUUGACCUCCAUUGAUGAUAUUCGUGAUCACUCCAUACCCUGGAAACCGACCUGCCUCCUUGUCCCUAGCUGAAGGCAUCCAUGCUCCGACGAUCACAUCGUGGCAAGAAGGCAUUGACCUUUGUGGAGUCAUCCAAAACCAUAAUGCAGAUUGGAAGGCCAAUAAGGCAUCGGUUAAUAACAGAUCUGGGUUCUCUAACAUCUCCUUUUCCUUCCCAAUGGCUGCUCCAAAUUGACCAUAGUUGUAGUUCCUUAAAUUAUCAAAUUUUGUUUCAUUAUUUCAACGUCAACAAAAAAUAAAAUUGUUACAUCAAUAAUUAAAGCUCUUGUUUAGUAUUCAAAUGAUACGGAUUUAAAAUUUGCGUAUAUUAUAAUAAUAAAAACAAAAGGAUCAACUACACUCAAUGAAAAGUAAACUAUUAAUAAAUUUAAGUUUUGAUCAUUCAAUUAAAUAUUGUUAAUUUAAAAAAAUAGACUAAUAUUCAUCAAUAAAUAAAAUAAUAUAUUUUAAACCUAAGUCGAUCUACGGUCAAUGUCAGAUAUCAAAAAAUUUUUUUUACAAAUAGUGUGAAUAAAAAAGACUAUGUAGUAGAGAUUUAACGGUCUAAUAAUUUAAGUAAAAAAUUUUAAAUAAUUUAAUAACUAUUAUAUAAAUUUUUAAAUUUAAAAUAAUUAAAAUAUAAAUUUAUUAACAAUUUAGUAAUUUUAUGCAUAGUUUUCCAGAUCAAAACCAAGUGGAAUGUGACGUGUAGUUUACCAAGUAAGUUGUAUGGGGCCUCGACCAUAGUAUUUUUGACCAGGAACACAUGGGAAUUGUUGGUUUGUCCCAUCGCAAUAUUCUGAAAGAGGCUUUACUUCUUUAUUAUAGCAGUAUCCCCAUACAAAUGGACCGCCUGGUGGGUUCCUCCCUCGUCCAGCUAAAAAUCAUUAAGUUAAUCGUUAAAGUAAUAUUUGAAUUCAAAAAUCCAACUUGAUAAAACUAAAAUUUGAUUUAAUUGGAUCUGUCAGAGGGUAGGUCAGUUAAAUUUAAAAUAAUUAAGAAUCUGAAAAAUGGGACAAACCAGCAGUUUCAUGUGAUGUUUGGCCGAAGAAAGCAGCAACUUCCCUCUUGCGAGUAGCAUCAUCGCCGGUUGCAGCAAAAGCAGGGUAAGCCUUUGCUGCUGCCAUUAAAGCUUCAUAGGUAUAGAACCCAGCGGCAGGGCAACGAGGAUCGGGAGCAUCUCUUCAAACACUUCUCUUGUUACAAUGCUGCUCAGUCCACCUCCACCGUCACUUCCGCCGCCGCAACAGCAACCACAACCGGCGUCGCCUUUGUUGCAGUUGCUUCGGAAACCAAUUUUCUUGUGGCGGUAAUAAUCAUUAUUGGCGCCACGGCAACACCAUUGGGCUGUUGGAAACAUGGCAGUGGCACUACAAGGUUGCUUUUCACACUGCAUAGCUGAGCCUGGGAGUGCAUUAGAGCAAAAUGACAAGGCUGGAGCUCUCAUUUUUUUGUAAAAUAUAAGUGGGUUUCUCUCAAUUGUGUGAGUAAAGAAGGGCAAGACUAGGGAACUGUAUAAAUAUAACUACAAUUACUACCCUUUUUCCUAGAUUCUUCUUAAUUUUUAAGGGUAAAUUACAAAAAUAUCACCUAGCUAUUAUUUCUUUAGAUUUAGUCAGUAAACUUUUCAAAACUAAAUAUUUUAGUCACUAUUCGGUUAGUUACCAUUAGAUGAUAGAAAAAAAAUUACAUGGGCUUUUUUUAUUAAUCUAAUAACAAUUUUAUCCCUUUAAUGCUUAUUCAUUCUAUCAAUUUGAUCCUAAAUAUAAAAAAUUUACCAAAUUUAGUUCUUAAAUUUUACAAAAUUUGUCAUUUUAGUUCGAAUUAUAAAAAAUUCAAUAAAUUAAGCCCUCAACAUUUAUAAAAAUUUUCACUUUAGUUCUAGUUCUAAGAUUUCAAAUAAAAAUAAAAAUAUUCACUUUUUUAAAUUUUAAACUAAAAUGAUAAGUUUUGUAAUCAUUGAGGGUCAAAUUUGUUGAUUUUUUUUUAUCUUUAGGAUAAAAUUAAUAGAAUGGGUAAAUAUUGAAGGGUUAGAUUUGAUAUUAGAUGUCGAAACCAUUCUUUAAAAAAAAACGGGAAUCGACUUGGUUUGAAAGCGAAGAUUAAAAAGGGAGGCGCCACUAAUCUUUUAUUAGGUGUGAUCGGAUCACCUUUGUUUUAAUAAAUCAUUUUAGUUCACUAAAACGAUAUUUUUGGUCUACGAAACUUGAGAGAACGGGUUCGGGAGUCAGUUACGUGCGAGGAAGGAUUAGCACCCUCGACAUGCCCAAAAAUUGGUACCAAAUUGAUUAGUUAGUGUCUUAAUAUCGAAAAUGGAAAAUCGAGAAUGAAUUUGAAAUACGAUCUUUUCUAUUAAUAUUGAUUUUAAAAUUUUUGAAUUAGCUUGAAUCGAUUGUUUAAAGAUUUCCUUAUUCUCAAGAUAUCAGAGUAUCACAUCCCGUAAGUUAGGACACAAUACCAUGAAUUCCCGAGCACAAGGUCGUCUUUUAAUUUAAAUGAGAAUUUCAUGUGUUUUAAAACUCGAAAAGGAUAUUUAACUAUUUAGAAACAACGAGAAAAUCGAAACCCCGUAAGUUAGGGCACAAUUCCUCGAUAUUUCAAAAUGCAAAACAUUGCCUUAUUUGGAAAAUUUCAUUUUCGAAUAGUAACGAAUAUAAUAUUUAAACGGCGUGUAUUAUUUAUUUAGGUUAAAAUAAAACGAUUUAUUAGAUGAAAAUAUUGAGAUUUAAUUUGUAAAGCAAUGAUACGAAACACGAUAUAAUAAUAAAUAUAAGCAAUAAUACAUGACUAACACCACGUAAAUAUAUGACGAUAAUGUGAAAAUAUAAGCGAACGUAUUGUGGUACAUACAAUGAGGAUAAUGAUUCAACAUACAUUAUUUACAUGCUAGAAUUAGCUAUGGAAGAUCAAUAAGGACAUAUAUAACAAUUUAAAAAGUAUGGAACCAAUCAAAAUAAAUAAAAUGUAUGAACCAUUUGAAAAAGAUAGCAAAUAAGCUUAAAAAUAAAUAAUAGUAAAAAAAAUAAAAUUUUUAAAAUCAAUAAUGCAUAAAACAUUUUUUUUUAAAAUAUAUAUACAUAAAUUUUAUAACAAAUAAUAUAGACAUAAGUACAUAAAGUUUAAAAAUGGGUAAUACAAAAAACUUAUAAUAAAUAAUACAUAGAAUACUAAAAAUAAAUAAAUAGAAUAAAAAAAUAAAAAAAAAAGUUUAAGAUAAUUAAAUAAUUUUAAAUAAAUAGUGCAUGAAACGAUUUAAAAUAAAAAUGGUACCUUAGAGUAAAAACGUAACAAUUUAUAAUAACUAAUAUGAAUAAAGAUCUUAAUGUAAGGCAAAAUAGUAUGAAAGACCCAAAACAGAUCAAUAAAAAGGUUUAAAACAUCAUGCGAAAGAUUUAAGAAUGAAUGUGCAAAAUAAUGGAAUAUAAAAACAACAAACAGUCUAAUAAAAAAUGAAAAUAAAAUAUGUAGCAUAUGCAUGCAUUAAAAUAAUAUGUGUAAAAAACCUAAAAUAAAUAAAUAUAAAACAGCUUUUAAAAUAAAAAAGACAAAUACACAAAUACAGUAUAAAGUUUGAAACUAAAUAAAAUAAUAUCUAAAUAAAUUGCAAAUGGGGCAUAUAAUAAAAUAUAAUGAAACAGUUUGAAAUAAAAGAAGAAAUGAUUAAAUUAAAAUCAAAAUGAAAGAAAAGGUACAAAUUAUAAUAACAGAUAAGUGUCAUGGACUACAUCAAAAUACAUUCAAAGUUAUGAGGACGAAAUGGGACAUUAUACCACGUAUCAAAUGCGCUGCAUUUCAGCCACUCAGGCCGAGGAUUAAAACAGAAAUGAAAUGAAAUAAGCAGGCGAAUUUUAAAAAAAAAGAAAAUGCAAAAAGGACUUAAUCAAAUGGCGCAGGAAAAGAAUAGGGACCAUGACCGAAAAUAUCCCAUUUUAGCCUGAAAAAAAAAAGCUGCCGUUUCUGUGGCCAUUUAAGCCAUUCUUUUUUCCUUUUCAUUUCAGCUUCUAUUUAAAAAAGGGAAAAAAAGAAAACAGAGGGCCUUUACCCUCUCUCCCUCUCCCUGCUCAUUUCGGCUAGGGUUCUUAGAACCUUCAUCGCCGCCUUCACCGCAGCGCCACCACAGGCGGUGGUUGGGGUGUAAGCCGGGCUUUCAAGCCCCUAUUUAAGGCGAACUCAACAGUGAAAACUUCCUCGACCAAAGAAGAUCCAAAGAAGGAACCCCCUACGACCUCUUCGGGUCGAAUCCGACGACGGAGGAGCGAUCUCCGACGAUGGUCACUUCGAUUCGGGUAAGUCCCCUUUGAUUUUAUACCCUUUUUUAUUUUUUUAGAUUUGUAGUAUAAACAAAAAGAAAUUUAAAGAGAUGAAAGAACGAAAUGAAAACAAAGAAAGAAAAAAAAAUCGGAGAUCAACCUUUAAAAUUUGUUCUGUUCUUUGAUUCAAAUGUGCGUGUAAAAAAAUUACAAAGCUUUGGUUUUUGAUUUUAUAGCCGGAUCCGAGAGCUAUUUUUGUUUGCAUUCAUUUUGUUUUCUUGUCAUUUUUGUUGUUUUCUUUAUUGUUUGUAUUGCUUGCGUGUGGAUCUCUCUUUGCAGGUGUGUCAGAGGCGUGUAAGGCCGGUGGUUGGUGCCCCGAGCGGUGGUGGUGCGCGUGGCAGAGGCUGGUGGCUGAAGGCAUGCGGCUAGGUUGCUGCUUGCUGAAAAAUUUUUAAGAUAGUGGGCCAUUUUGGGCCACUAGGGUUUUUGGUUAUUGGGUUUGGGUAGUUUUGGGCUAGAAUCUGGGUAGUGGGCUGGUAAUUGGGUUUUAAUUAAGUUUAUUGGUUUGGGCCAAAAUUGGCUGCUACAUUAAACUAAUAAAAAAGCCCACGUCAUUUUUCUGUUACAAUUGAUGGGAGAGUAAUUAAAAAUUUUAAUUUCAAAAUUUUUAGUGACUAAAUCAAAAAAUUUAAUAGUUGAGUGCCUAAAAUAGAACCAAAGACAUAGUGUAGUGACUAUUUUUACAAUUUACCCUAAUUUAAUAUCAAAUAUUAAUAUACUUUUUAAACAGAUUAUGUAGGAUGCUUAAAUCAAUAUAUAAGUUUACAAGUAAAUCCACCUUAGAACUACAAAAUUUAAAAUAAA